This 350-nucleotide RNase P RNA is filed under the name Bacteroidales bacterium. Its description in RNAcentral is "RNase P RNA component class A". It matches the Rfam family "Bacterial RNase P class A". Rfam says of the family: Ribonuclease P (RNase P) is a ubiquitous endoribonuclease, found in archaea, bacteria and eukarya as well as chloroplasts and mitochondria. The record is from RNAcentral. Lineage: Bacteria; Pseudomonadati; Bacteroidota; Bacteroidia; Bacteroidales.
GCAGCGGGCCGUCUCAUCGUUCUCUUCUGAGCGAAAUCGAAGAGGGGGAAGGAAAGUCCGGUCAACACAGAGCACCAUGCUUCCUAACGGGAAGAUAUCCGUGAGGGUAUAGUAGUGUAACAGAAAAUAACCGCCCUGAGCGUUGUCGAAGGGAAAGGGUGAAAAGGUGAGGUAAGAGNNGGUUGAAAGACCAUGUAUACCGGCAAUAAGGGCUGCUCGUCCGAUGCCGGGGGGUAGGUCGUAUGAUCCCUGCAGUGAUGGAGGGACAAGAUAAAUGAUGGGAACCGGUUUUUAUUUCUCGCGAAGAAGAUAAAACCGUACAGAAACCGGCUUACAGGCCAGCUGCAAAA